This 430-nucleotide ribosomal RNA is filed under the name uncultured bacterium. RNAcentral's name for it is "partial 16S ribosomal RNA". It matches the Rfam family "Bacterial small subunit ribosomal RNA", at positions 338 to 795 of the family's 1533-position model. The record is from RNAcentral.
CCUACGGGGGGCAGCAAUUAGGAAUCUUGCACAAUGGACGAAAGUCUGAUGCAGCGACGCCGCGUGAGGGAUGAAAUUCUUCGGAAUGUAAACCUCUUUUAUUUGGGAAGCGGUACCAAAUGAAUAAGCCCCGGCUAACUACGUGCCAGCAGCCGCGGUAAUACGUAGGGGGCGAGCGUUGUCCGAAUUUACUGGGCGUAAAGAGCAUUAGGCGGAUCCUUAAGUGAGAGGUGAAAGGUUAGGGCUCAACCCGAACACUGCCUUUCAUACUGGGGAUCUUGAGUACGGGAGAGGCGAGUGGAAUUUCUGGUGUAGCGGUGAAAUGCGUAGAUAUCAGAAGGAACACCCAUGGCGAAGGCAGCUCGCUGGCCUGUACUGACGCUGAGUGCGAAAGCGUGGGGAGCAAACAGGAUUAGAUACCCUUGUAGUC